Molecule: unclassified non-coding RNA, 210 nt
Filed under: Hevea brasiliensis (rubber tree)
Lineage: Eukaryota; Viridiplantae; Streptophyta; Magnoliopsida; Malpighiales; Euphorbiaceae
Source: RNAcentral
CGGGACUCACUGAAUCCCUCACUCGUCGCCCAAGUCAUCGAUCCUUGCCUCUUGACUCAUCACUCUCUCGCACUCGGUUUCUUCAACUGGGCCUCUCAGCAACCCGGGUUUACUCACACCUCACUUACUUAUCAAUCAAUNNNNNNNAAUCUCUCUCUCUUUCUCGUCAAUUCAAUUCUAUAGAGUCUAUCUUAAAGCAAGUCAAAGCCC